UCCGUAGGGGGCAAGCGUUGUCCGGAUUCAUUGGGCGUAAAGAGCGUGUAGGCGGCCAGGUAGGUCGGUUGUGAAAACUGGAGGCUCAACCUUCAGAGGUCGACCGAAACCAUCUGGCUAGAGUCCGGGAGAGGAGAGUGGAAUUCCUGGUGUAGCGGUGAAAUGCGCAGAUAUCAGGAAGAACACCCGUGGCGAAAGCGGCUCUCUGGAACGGGACUGACGCUGAGACGCGAAAGCGUGGGGAGCGAACAGG
This 253-nucleotide ribosomal RNA is filed under the name uncultured bacterium. Its description in RNAcentral is "partial 16S ribosomal RNA". It matches the Rfam family "Bacterial small subunit ribosomal RNA", at positions 524 to 776 of the family's 1533-position model. The record is from RNAcentral.